Molecule: non-coding RNA, 456 nt
Organism: Mus caroli (Ryukyu mouse)
Lineage: Eukaryota; Metazoa; Chordata; Mammalia; Rodentia; Muridae
Source: RefSeq, a predicted model, not a curated record
AGCAAGCCGAACUCCUAGCUCUUAGUGGAGCAGACAGGCCAGGAGAGGCCGGGUGGUGGGAAUUGGCCUAGCAGAAUGUAAGAGAGGCAGGAAUUCCACAAAGAGGUCUCAAAGGUUUGCCGGGAACAUUCUGCUGAGCACCAGGCUGUAUGCGCGCGGAAUCACAGGCAAGGCUCCAGGAGACGGCAGAAAAAGCAGUUUUAGAGGCACUUACAACGGUUUCGCUGUGUAGCUCAGGAUAACCUCAAACUGUGCAUCUUUGGUUAGCUGUGGAUCCUUCUGACUCUGCCUUUAGAGUGUGCUGGACUCAGAUAAUGGAGUCCCCACCCAGCUCUUUCCCCUGCCUCACAGAACUCAUGCCUGCAGCGGCCUGCUGAGAACCAUUUCAUGGCAGGGGAAAAUUCUGGUCUAUGGAAAGGGGUAAAGAGAAUCAAGAGAACCUUGGCUUCUUCCUAC